Agrilus planipennis (emerald ash borer) is the source of this 405-nucleotide long non-coding RNA. RefSeq lists it as uncharacterized. The transcript is spliced from 2 exons. NCBI's taxonomy places the organism in Eukaryota, Metazoa, Arthropoda, Insecta, Coleoptera, Buprestidae. The record is from RefSeq and is a predicted model, not a curated record.
UAAACACUCGGACAGAACACGUAACUAUAUCGAUGUUCAUAUCUAAAAGUAAAAAACAAUCUUAUCAUUAAUUUUAAUUUAUAUUCCGUUUCCUUCGGCUUUUUUCAUCACACAUUGCAAGAUACUUACAACAUUCACUAAUAUUUUGUUAAAAUGACAACAUUAUCCAGUUUUUUUCUACUACUGUGUAUUAUUGCUGCGGAGGGUCAAAUAUUUCGAAGGCGAUAUGGACCUCCCCCAGUAGAUGUUCCCAUCGGUAGAGCUAGUUCACCCGUCUGGGGUAAUAUAACUCAAAGGGUUGAUCAUUUCAAUCCUGCGGAUAAAAGAACUUGGUCAAUGGUAAGCACGAAAGUAUAAUUUAUAAUCUAAAUUGUACGUAUUAAUAAUAAUAACUGAAACGAUAUU